Molecule: long non-coding RNA, 574 nt
Organism: Pistacia vera
Lineage: Eukaryota; Viridiplantae; Streptophyta; Magnoliopsida; Sapindales; Anacardiaceae
Exons: 2
Source: RefSeq, a predicted model, not a curated record
UGCUUUGAAACAGAUUCCCUAGCAUGCAACAAGUGGUUUGGGAUUUUAAAUUUAAUUUGUGUUUGUUUUGCAGGCCUAUGUUCUUCAUCUAGAAUCUAGUAGAUUGAAGUUAGUUCAGUUGGAGCAGGAGCUCGAGUGAGGUAAACAACAGGGUUUGUAUUUCGUUGGUGGAGUAGAAGGUUCUCAGUUGGGUUCUCUGGACCUGUAAAUUCAGGUUUGUCAAAAUAUUGCUGAAUAACUUCUGGUUUUGAAGUCCUCACCCACAAACAUUGCUAUUUCUGGAAAUUGCAUGUCUCUAAUUGCGGUGAUUUGGUAUCUGACUCCCGGAACCUGGACUGUAGUAUUGAUCAUAAGACUGUUUGUGGAAUUUUGGUACUACUAGCUUACCACCACCAAUCAUUGUAUGCUCCUGCUAUUUAAUGUUUUAAUUGUGUUCCCUUCAAAGCAUGAUUCAACAUAGUUACUAUGAAAUGUUGCUGGCGUCAUGUUUGGUUUUCUGGGCUGUGAAAUGAUGUUGAUUGUUGUUUCCACUCUUGUAAGCUGCUAUCAAUUGCGUAUUGUUUUCUAUGUGAAA